GACGAACCGUGCGAACGUUAUUCGGAAUCAUUGGGCUUAAAGGGCGCGUAGGCGGCGGUGUAAGUUGGAAGUGAAAUCCCAUCGGCUCAACCGUGGAAUUGCUCCCAGUACUGCACUGCUCGAGGGGGAUAGGGGUCUGCGGAACUACCGGUGGAGCGGUGAAAUGUGUUGAUAUCGGUGGGAACACCAGUGGCGAAGGCGGCUCACUGGUCCGGUACUGACGCUGAGGUGCGAAAGCGUGGGGAGCAAACAGG
This 254-nucleotide ribosomal RNA is filed under the name uncultured bacterium. RNAcentral's name for it is "partial 16S ribosomal RNA". It matches the Rfam family "Bacterial small subunit ribosomal RNA", at positions 524 to 776 of the family's 1533-position model. The record is from RNAcentral.